This 1698-nucleotide ribosomal RNA is filed under the name Sabussowia ronaldi. Its description in RNAcentral is "SSU rRNA". It matches the Rfam family "Eukaryotic small subunit ribosomal RNA". Lineage: Eukaryota; Metazoa; Platyhelminthes; Tricladida; Cercyridae. The record is from RNAcentral.
CUGCAUGCCUAAGUACACGUACUUGAAUUACGAAACCGUAGACGGCUCAUUACAACAGCUAUAAUUUAAGAGACCUACGUUUACUCACAGGAUAACUGUGGUAAUUCUAGAGCUAAUACUUGUUUAUAUACUGCGACUUUUGGAGCAGUGGAUUUAUCAUUUCAAAACCAAUCACCCUCGGGUGUCUUGAGAUGACUCUAGAUAACUUUCCUAAUCGCAUGGUCUUUGUACUGGCGAYAUAUCUCUUAAAGUGGCUGACCUAUCAACUUUCGAUGGUAAGGUAAAAGCUUACCAUGGUUAUAACGGGUAACGGGGAAUCAGGGUUCGAUUCCGGAGAGGGAGCCUGAGAAACGGCUACCACAUCUACGGAUGGCAGCAGGCGCGUAACAUGCCCAAUAUCCGAAGGAUGAGGCUGUGAAGAUAAAUAACAAUAUGGUCCCUUUGGGAUUCAUAAUUGCAAUGAGAGAAUUGUAAAUACUUUGUCGAGAAACAAUUGGAGGGCAAGUCUGGUGCCAGCAGCCGCGGUAAUUCCAGCUCCAAUAGCGUAUAUUAAAUUUGUUGCAGCUAAAAAGCGCGUAGUUGAAAUUGAGGUGGGUAACUUAGGUUAUACUUAGUAUGGCUUUUGUUAUCGCCUUCCCAGUCGUGUACAUUGAUCAUUUCUCUCACGAGGUGUGGUUCGUGACCGACAUGUUUACUUUGAAAAAAUUAGRGUGCUUAAAGCAGGUGUACGCCUGAAUAUUGAUGCAUGGAAUAAUAAAAUAAGACUUCGGUUCUAUUUUAUUGGUUCUCGGAACUGAAGUAAUGAUUAAAAGAGACAGCCGGGGGUAUACGUAUGUUGAUGUGAGAGGUGAAAUUCUAAGACCAUCAGCAGACGACCUACUGCGAAAGCAUUUACCAAGAAUGUUUUCAUUAAUCAAGCACGAAAGUGAUAGGAUCGAAGGCGAUCAGAUACCGCCCUAGUUAUCACCAUAAACGAUGCCAACUGACGAUUCAUUARGGCAAUUUAUUUAGCCUUGUGAGARGUCACCGGGAAGCCAAAGUUAUUGGGUUCCGGGGGAAGUAUGGUUGCAAAGCUGAAACUUAAAGGAAUUGACGGAAGAGCACCACCAGCGGUGGAGCCUGCGGCUUAAUUUGACUCAACACGGGAAAUCUCACCCGGUCCGGACACUGUAAUGAUUGACAGAUYGAUAGCUCUUUCUUGAUUCGGUGGGUGGUGGUGCAUGGCCGUUCUUAGUUGGUGGAGUGAUUUGUCUGCUUAAUUGCGUUAACGAACGAGACUCUGUCCUGCUAAAUAGUACAUACGUGAACUUCUUUAGCGUAUGCUGACUUCUUAGAGGAAUUAAUGGCGUUUAGUCAAAUGAAAUGGAGCAAUAACAGGYCUGUGAUGCCCYUAGAUGUCCGGGGCCGCACGCGCGCUACAAUGGCAGUACCAACGAGUUUCUUUCCUAGCCUGAAAGGGUCGGGUAACCUGCUCAAUUACUGUCGUAUCUGGGAUAGUGGUUUGUAAUUAUUCCACUUGAACGAGGAAUCGCUAGUAAGUACAAGUCAUUAACUUGUGCUGAUUACGUCCCUGCUCUUUGUACACACCGCCCGUCGCUACUACCGAUUGAAUGGUAAAGUGAGAUUGUUGGAUUUGGCUGUAAGUGACGCAUGUUACUAUCGGCUGGAAAAGACACUCAAACUUGAUCAUUAGAGGAA